GUACUUGCUUUGGCAGUACAGAUACUAAAACUGGAACGAUACAGAGAAGAUUACAUGGCCCCUGCGCAAGGAUGACACCCAAAAAGAAAAAUAUCGAAGUAUU
This is a small nuclear RNA of Stegodyphus dumicola, 103 nucleotides long. The record is from RefSeq and is a predicted model, not a curated record. NCBI's taxonomy places the organism in Eukaryota, Metazoa, Arthropoda, Arachnida, Araneae, Eresidae.